GGAGAAGGUCCCAAGGGUUGGGCUGUUCGCCCAUUAAAGCGGCACGCGAGCUGGGUUUAGAACGUCGUGAGACAGUUCGGUCCCUAUCCUCCAUGGGCGUAGGAAAUUUGAAGGGCUCUGUUCUUAGUACGAGAGGACCGGAAUGGACGAACCUCUAGUGUACCUGUUGUCACAUCAGUGGCACCGCAGGGUAGCUACGUUCGGUCGGGAUAAGCGCUGAAAGCAUAUAAGCGCGAAACCCACCCUAAGAUGAGAUUUCCCUUACCUUCGGGUACUAAAGGCUUCCAGUAGAUGACUGGGUUGAUAGGCCACAGGUGUAAGUAUAGUAAUAUAUUUAGCCGAGUGGUACUAAUAAGCCGUGAGGCUUAAUCAAUUUUU
RNAcentral lists this ribosomal RNA (378 nucleotides) under Fidelibacterota bacterium. RNAcentral describes it as "bacterial LSU rRNA". It matches the Rfam family "Bacterial large subunit ribosomal RNA", at positions 2555 to 2925 of the family's 2925-position model. Lineage: Bacteria; Pseudomonadati; Fidelibacterota. The record is from RNAcentral.